This 253-nucleotide ribosomal RNA is filed under the name uncultured bacterium. RNAcentral describes it as "partial 16S ribosomal RNA". It matches the Rfam family "Bacterial small subunit ribosomal RNA", at positions 524 to 776 of the family's 1533-position model. The record is from RNAcentral.
UACGUAGGGGGCUAGCGUUGUCCGGAAUCAUUGGGCGUAAAGCGCGUGUAGGCGGUCCGGUAAGUCCGCUGUGAAAGUCGGGGGCUCAACCCUCGAAUGCCGGUGGAUACUGUCGGGCUAGAGUGCGGAAGAGGCGAGUGGAAUUCCUGGUGUAGCGGUGAAAUGCGCAGAUAUCAGGAGGAACACCGGUGGCGAAGGCGGGUCUCUGGGCCGUAACUGACGCUGAGGAGCGAAAGCAUGGGGAGCGAACAGG